GGGAGAUUUCCCGAGUGGACAAAGGGGGCUGACUGUAAAUCAGUUGUUUCUAACUUCGAUGGUUCGAAUCCAUCAUCUCCCACCA
RNAcentral lists this transfer RNA (85 nucleotides) under Oscillospiraceae bacterium. RNAcentral describes it as "tRNA-Tyr". It matches the Rfam family "tRNA". From Rfam's summary of the family: Transfer RNA (tRNA) molecules are approximately 80 nucleotides in length. Their secondary structure includes four short double-helical elements and three loops (D, anti-codon, and T loops). Further hydrogen bonds mediate the characteristic L-shaped molecular structure. tRNAs have two regions of fundamental functional importance: the anti-codon, which is responsible for specific mRNA codon recognition, and the 3' end, to which the tRNAs corresponding amino acid is attached (by aminoacyl-tRNA synthetases). tRNAs cope with the degeneracy of the genetic code in two manners: having more than one tRNA (with a specific anti-codon) for a particular amino acid; and 'wobble' base-pairing, i.e. permitting non-standard base-pairing at the 3rd anti-codon position. The record is from RNAcentral. Lineage: Bacteria; Bacillati; Bacillota; Clostridia; Eubacteriales; Oscillospiraceae.